This 416-nucleotide ribosomal RNA is filed under the name Shinkaiya sp. RNAcentral's name for it is "partial small subunit ribosomal RNA". It matches the Rfam family "Eukaryotic small subunit ribosomal RNA", at positions 587 to 975 of the family's 1831-position model. Lineage: Eukaryota; Foraminifera; Syringamminidae. The record is from RNAcentral.
AGCUCCACGAGCGUAUAUUUAAGUUGUUGCUGUUAAAAAGUUCGUAGUCGAAGAAGGAGGAGUGGGAUUUUUUUUAAUUUGGAAGAGAGGGGACGAAAUGUCUCAUUUGCGAAAGCAGAUAUUACUUGAUUCCAGACCACUCCAUUUACGAUGAUGGUAUAUUUUAUAAUAUACUAUCAUGAAUCUUGCGCAAAGGGGAGUGAUCAAAACAGAAUUUAUAUUCGUUGAACUUUAACGCAGGAGAUUUGGGAAAAUGAAAUGGUGUGCAUGAUAUGAUUUUUUUUCUUUCAUGUUCUUGCUAUUUAAUGAUUAAGAGGAAUGGUCGGGGGAAUUGUAAUACUGUGAGAAGAGGUGAAAUUCGGUGAUCCACGGUAGAAUAACAGAAGCGAAAGCGUUUUCCAAGGACAUUUCCAUUG